GACGAACGCUGGCGGCGUGCUUAACACAUGCAAGUCGAGCGGUAAGGCCCUUUCGGGGGUACGACGAGCGGCGAACGGGUGAGUAACACGUGGGUGACCUGCCCUUACGCUCUGGGAUAAGCCUGGGAAACUGGGUCUAAUACCGGAUAUGACUCCAUGACGCAUGUUGUGGGGUGGAAAGCCUUGUGCGGCUAGGGAUGGGCCCGCGGCCUAUCAGCUUGUUGGUGGGGUGAUGGCCACCAAGGCGACGACGGGUAGCCGGCCUGAGAGGGCGACCGGCCACACUGGGACUGAGACACGGCCCAGACUCCUACGGGAGGCAGCAGUGGGGAAUCUUGCGCAAUGGGCGAAAGCCUGACGCAGCGACGCCGCGUGGGGA
This 379-nucleotide ribosomal RNA is filed under the name uncultured bacterium. RNAcentral's name for it is "bacterial SSU rRNA". It matches the Rfam family "Bacterial small subunit ribosomal RNA", at positions 28 to 407 of the family's 1533-position model. The record is from RNAcentral.